ACCUCAUCACGAGGAGUCGAGGGAUCUGGCCCGAUGACACUCCAGCAACCGUCUCGCUGAGAAAGGUGCUUCUUCCAGCAGCAAUCGCGCUGAUAGAUGAGUG
This 103-nucleotide non-coding RNA is filed under the name Herpetosiphon aurantiacus. RNAcentral describes it as "SAM-I sequence". It matches the Rfam family "SAM riboswitch aptamer (S box leader)". Rfam says of the family: The SAM riboswitch is found upstream of a number of genes which code for proteins involved in methionine or cysteine biosynthesis in Gram-positive bacteria. The SAM riboswitch acts at the level of transcription termination control. The predicted structure consists of a complex stem-loop region followed by a single stem loop terminator region. The record is from RNAcentral. Lineage: Bacteria; Bacillati; Chloroflexota; Chloroflexia; Herpetosiphonales; Herpetosiphonaceae.